GGGCCGGUAGAUCAGCAGCAGAUCGCAUGCUUCGCAAGCAUGAGGCCGCGGGUGCGAUUCCCGCCCGGUCCA
This 72-nucleotide transfer RNA is filed under the name Microcaldota archaeon. RNAcentral describes it as "tRNA-Ala". It matches the Rfam family "tRNA". Rfam says of the family: Transfer RNA (tRNA) molecules are approximately 80 nucleotides in length. Their secondary structure includes four short double-helical elements and three loops (D, anti-codon, and T loops). Further hydrogen bonds mediate the characteristic L-shaped molecular structure. tRNAs have two regions of fundamental functional importance: the anti-codon, which is responsible for specific mRNA codon recognition, and the 3' end, to which the tRNAs corresponding amino acid is attached (by aminoacyl-tRNA synthetases). tRNAs cope with the degeneracy of the genetic code in two manners: having more than one tRNA (with a specific anti-codon) for a particular amino acid; and 'wobble' base-pairing, i.e. permitting non-standard base-pairing at the 3rd anti-codon position. Lineage: Archaea; Nanobdellati; Microcaldota. The record is from RNAcentral.